CCUACGGGUGGCAGCAGUGAGGAAUCUUGGUCAAUGGGCGCGAGCCUGAACCAGCCAAGUCGCGUGAGGGAAGACGGUCCUAUGGAUUGUAAACCUCUUUUGUCGGGGAGCAAAAGACGCCACGCGUGGCGUUCCGAGAGUACCCGAAGAAAACGCAUCGGCUAACUCCGGGCCUGCAGCCGCGGUAAUACGGGGGAUGCGACCGUUGUCCGGAUUUGUUGGGGUAAUAGGGUGCGCAGGCGGAAGAGCAAGUCAGCGGUAAAAUUGCGAGGUCCAACCUCUUCGGGCCGUUGAAACGGGUUGUCUAGAGUGAGGGAGAAGGAUGCGGAAUGCGUGGUGUAGCAGUGAAAUGCGUAGAUAUCGCGCAGAACUCUGAUUGCGAAGGCAGGAUCCCGGCGCUCAACUGACGCUCAUGCACGAAGGUGUGGGUAUCGAACAGGAUUAGAUACCCUUGUAGUC
RNAcentral lists this ribosomal RNA (459 nucleotides) under uncultured bacterium. RNAcentral's name for it is "partial 16S ribosomal RNA". It matches the Rfam family "Bacterial small subunit ribosomal RNA", at positions 338 to 795 of the family's 1533-position model. The record is from RNAcentral.